This 105-nucleotide small nuclear RNA is filed under the name Salvator merianae (Argentine black and white tegu). Lineage: Eukaryota; Metazoa; Chordata; Lepidosauria; Squamata; Teiidae. The record is from RNAcentral.
AUGCUUGCUUUGGCAGCACAUAUACUAAAAAUGGAAAGAUACAGAGAAGAUUAGCAUAAUCCCUGCAAAAGGAUGACACACGAAUUUUUGAAGUUACAUAUUUUU